This 292-nucleotide ribosomal RNA is filed under the name uncultured prokaryote. RNAcentral's name for it is "partial 16S ribosomal RNA". It matches the Rfam family "Bacterial small subunit ribosomal RNA", at positions 505 to 796 of the family's 1533-position model. The record is from RNAcentral.
GUGUCAGCCGCCGCGGUAAUACGGAGGGUCCGAGCGUUAUCCGGAUUUAUUGGGUUUAAAGGGUGCGUAGGCGGCUUCAUAAGUCAGUGGUGAAAUUCGGCAGCUCAACUGUCGGCGUGCCUUUGAUACUGUGGAGCUUGAAUUUGGUCGAAGGAGGCGGAAUGGGACAAGUAGCGGUGAAAUGCAUAGAUAUGUCCCGGAACCCCAAUUGCGAAGGCAGCUUCCUAGGUCAUUAUUGACGCUGAUGCACGAAAGCGUGGGGAUCGAACAGGAUUAGAUACCCCCGUAGUCC